AUAUAUGAGUGUAUGCUGACUCUGAACUAAUUUUUGCAGGUUUAUCACAAACAACUGAGCCCCACCCCAAACGCCGGCAGUUCAUUGAUGAACAAUCCCAAACCUAAUAUAAAGCAAAGAUGUUUCCAAAGUUGACUUCCCCACUCAAUCCCUCCCCCGAACCUGAGAACUCAAUAGCGGUAUUACGCCGCCACGGCUUCAGGAAUUAGCGCGUACUCCUUUUCUCCGUUCUUCUCGAAUUCUGCCAUAUCAAGCGCAACGAUAACACUAUCCCUCACCACUUGUUCGGGGUCGUCUAAAAACUUCUUUAGUGUCUCCUCCACUCCUUCCUCAUCUCCAAGACUCCCAAGAGCUUCAGCAGCCUCAUGACGCACCAUACUGGCUUCCUCCAUAUUGUGGAGUGUGGCGGUGAGGCUGGGAAUACUAGCAGGAUGAGACAAUUGGCCAAAAACGAAUGCUAUCUCAUGUCGAAAGAGUGCCGAAGUGUCUUUGAACCCUUCUGCUAGAGCACAUACAGCGGGAACAGCGGUCGGAAGGUCGGGAGGUGAAGCAAGAUCUCGAAGAGCGAACAUCGCACGGUAUCUUUGGAAAAGCGGAAGGUUUGGAUCGAGGAGGGUACGUUCUAAAUCGGGGAUGGAUGGCUCAUCGGUGGCCAUUGGUAGUGGAGGGGCAGGGUCAAUUGAUGUAAAAUCACUUUAUAUGACAGCAUCAAAUCCGUUAGCCAUGGGGAUAUAUUGUUAGUUAGGGAUGCGAUAUCUGUCUGCAGUUUUACCUUUGUUUUAGGUUCUCGGCUUUGCGUCGACCAGACAUUUCCCAUUCAAUCCUCUCCACAGCAAUGUCGCAAGUUUCCCUUACAACAUCAGGCUCGUUUUCAUCAUCCCUCAAAUUCCGUAGAAUAUCUAGGCUGUCUGAAUCACACAGCGCUCCUAGCGCCUCCGCCGCCUCAUGCCGACACAUCGGAUCCUCUCCUCGAUUCUCCAACACCUCCCGGAGAUAGGGAACUGCAGCUAAGUUUUUAGUCUGUCCCAAGCAGUAAGCAAGUUCAUGCUUUAAAAGAGCAGAUGGAGAUGAGAAUGCUGCGGCGAUCGCUUGGAUAGAAGGUAAACUCUGUUCUGUAGGCGGCUGGAGACAGGCGACAUGCUUCAGGGAGAAUAAGGCACGGAAUCGCCGUGCUAAAGGCUCACUUUCGGAGGUUGAUCCGUUGCGACCGGCGACAUCUUACACAGUGGAAUAUAUUACCGUAGGUAUGGUUCCAGGAUCUGCAAUUCCUAACAUGAACAUUCGAAUGUCUUCACCCCAAACUCCGACAUUUUUUUUUGGAGGGGCGAUGAGGGGCGUGCAAAUUACAUAAGCGACCCUAGUCAAAAAUGUGAUGUUUAUUUUUCAACUUCCUCAUCCUACCUCUAACCCUGUGUUGAAAGGAGGGAAUAUGGGACAGGUAACGAGUGUAUUGGUAAUGUUGUGAAGGAUGUAUGUGAAGUGUGUUUCGAAGGGUGGGAAGUUCAUCGGAAAAUGCACACGCAUAGUAAAUUAGACAUCUUUACGCAUCGGUUUGGGGCUAGGCGAAUAGCAGCAUCUCUAGAAUAUAUCCCAAUUAAUCGGUACGCAUAUCUAUCUUUGCUUUGAAGGCUGCAUUUUAUACUUGCUCAAAACGACAAAAAAAACAAUCGAUUUGUCACCUAAAAACAGCCUGGUAGUGAUACGGCAUCGCACGGUAUAGGAGAGGAGAAAGGAAAAAGUAUUGUAACAUAUAUAUGCCACAAUUAACAUCGUCGGCAGACAAUAUUUAGUUGACAAAAUCAUUUGAAUACAAGUAGACUCAAGUUUAUAUACACUUGAAAAAAGCGAAGGGAGCUCUGAAUGUUUUGUUCUAUUUAGUUCUGACAAUUUUGAGCUUCUUAGGUUCGUGUAAGAAGUUGUUCGCAUAGGCUUUGGGGCGGAACGCUCGCUUAUUUGGUUCCUGGACAAAAUAUUCGUAUCCUUGCUUUUCCGCAAAUGAUAUCGCAUCUUCCUUUGAUUUGAAAUCUAGAUGGGUAGCUUGCAUCGCAUCAGCUGAAGAUUGCCACCCCGUCAGCGGAUUUUCCCAGCGAUGGCCUUUUGACAAAACAUCCCAAUCCAUUCGCCAGUGGUGGGUAUGCCACAUCCCCGAUUGCGUCGCUGGUUUCGAGGGUUGGAAGAUCCUGACUGUUCGCGCUUG
RNAcentral lists this small RNA (2197 nucleotides) under Histoplasma capsulatum var. duboisii H88. Its description in RNAcentral is "Histoplasma capsulatum H88 hypothetical RNA". The record is from RNAcentral. Lineage: Eukaryota; Fungi; Ascomycota; Eurotiomycetes; Onygenales; Ajellomycetaceae.